CCUACGGGCGGCAGCAGUGAGGAAUAUUGGUCAAUGGUCGGGAGACUGAACCAGCCAAGCCGCGUGAGGGAUGAAGGUACUGAGUAUCGUAAACCUCUUUUGUCAGGGAACAAAGGCGGGGACGCGUACCCGGCUGAGUGUACCUGAAGAAAAAGCAUCGGCUAACUCCGUGCCAGCAGCCGCGGUAAUACGGAGGGGGCAAGCGUUAUCCGGAUUCACUGGGUGUAAAGGGAGCGUAGACGGGGGGACAAGUCGGGAGUGAAAGGCCGGGGCCCAACCCCGGGAUUGCUGUUGAAACUGGCUGUCUGGAGUACAGGAGAGGUAAGUGGAAUUCCUAGUGUAGCGGUGAAAUGCGUAGAUAUUAGGAGGAACACCAGUGGCGAAGGCGGCUUACUGGACUGUAACUGACGUUGAGGCUCGAAAGCGUGGGGAGCAAACAGGAUUAGAUACCCUGGUAGUC
Molecule: ribosomal RNA, 460 nt
Filed under: uncultured bacterium
Lineage: Bacteria
Description: partial 16S ribosomal RNA
Rfam family: Bacterial small subunit ribosomal RNA
Source: RNAcentral